ACACAUGCAAGUCGAGGGGCAGCAUGGUCUUAGCUUGCUAAGGCUGAUGGCGACCGGCGCACGGGUGAGUAACACGUAUCCAACCUGCCGUCUACUCUUGGCCAGCCUUCUGAAAGGAAGAUUAAUCCAGGAUGGGAUCAUGAGUUCACAUGUCCGCAUGAUUAAAGGUAUUUUCCGGUAGACGAUGGGGAUGCGUUCCAUUAGAUAGUAGGCGGGGUAACGGCCCACCUAGUCAACGAUGGAUAGGGGUUCUGAGAGGAAGGUCCCCCACAUUGGAACUGAGACACGGUCCAAACUCCUACGGGAGGCAGCAGUGAGGAAUAUUGGUCAAUGGGCGAUGGCCUGAACCAGCCAAGUAGCGUGAAGGAUGACUGCCCUAUGGGUUGUAAACUUCUUUUAUAAAGGAAUAAAGUCGGGUAUGCAUACCCGUUUGCAUGUACUUUAUGAAUAAGGAUCGGCUAACUCCGUGCCAGCAGCCGCGGUAAUACGGAGGAUCCGAGCGUUAUCCGGAUUUAUUGGGUUUAAAGGGAGCGUAGAUGGAUGUUUAAGUCAGUUGUGAAAGUUUGCGGCUCAACCGUAAAAUUGCAGUUGAUACUGGAUGUCUUGAGUGCAGUUGAGGCAGGCGGAAUUCGUGGUGUAGCGGUGAAAUGCUUAGAUAUCACGAAGAACUCCGAUUGCGAAGGCAGCCUGCUAAGCUGCAACUGACAUUGAGGCUCGAAAGUGUGGGUA
Molecule: ribosomal RNA, 729 nt
Filed under: uncultured Bacteroidales bacterium
Lineage: Bacteria; Pseudomonadati; Bacteroidota; Bacteroidia; Bacteroidales
Description: bacterial SSU rRNA
Rfam family: Bacterial small subunit ribosomal RNA
Source: RNAcentral